Non-coding RNA from Callithrix jacchus (white-tufted-ear marmoset), 2317 nucleotides. The record is from RefSeq and is a predicted model, not a curated record. NCBI's taxonomy places the organism in Eukaryota, Metazoa, Chordata, Mammalia, Primates, Cebidae.
GUUCGGAAUUGAAGCGGGCGUCCAGAGGGCAGAGGAGAGGGAGAGUGGGUGGGACUUCAGUCUGAGGCCUUCGGAUAGGUAUCCUCAGAAACCACCUGCGAAGGGGACCCUCGGAGCACAUGGAGUUUCGCUCUUAUUGCCCAGGCUAGAGUGCAAUAGCAUGAUCUCGGCUUACCGAAAUCUCCGCCUUCCGGGUUCAAGCGAUUCUUCUGCCUCAGCCUCCCAAAUGGAGUUUCGCUCUUACUGCCCAGGCUAGAGUGCAAUAGCAUGAUCUCGGCUCACCAAAAUCUCUGCCUUCCGGGUUCAAGCGAUUCUUCUGCCUCAGCCUCCCGAGUAGCUGGGAUUACAAGCAUGCACCACCACACCAGACUAAUUUUGUACUUUUAGUACAGACGGGGUUUCUCCACGUUGGUUAAUGGCUGGUCUCAAACUCCAAACCUCAGGAACUUAUGACUGUUUUCGAGUCCCCAUUAGGGUUGACUUUGCCAUCAAGUAAGCCUGCCACUGAACUUCCGGCACCACGGCAAGAAAGCUGGUGGUCUUUGUGUUCUUUUCCCAAGUAGUUGUGACUGAUCUCGAGUCCCCGUCAGGGUAGACUCUGCCUUCAAGUGAGCCUGUCACUGAACAUCCAGUACUACGGCAAGAAAGCUGAUAAUUUGUUUCCUUACUUACUGUGUUUGUAGACAAAUGUGAAUGUAACUUCAUGCUUAAUGAAAUAAAUUUUUGUUGAUGAAAAAAAUAAAAGAGACUCUUUCUCCCAUUAAAUUUUCUUGGCACCCUUGUCAAAAAUCAGUUGACAUGUGGAUUCUCAGUUCUGGUCCAUUGACCUAUAUGUCUCUUCCAUGCCGGUACAUAGAGUCUUCAUUACUGUUGAUUUGUAGUAAAAUUUGAAAUCUAGAAGUGGGAGUACUCUACUUUGCUCUUCUUUUUACAAAAUGGCUUUGGUCAUUCUGAAUCCUUUCUAUUUCCGUAUGAAUUUUAGAGUCAGCUUAUUGGUUUCUGGGAACAAAAGCAACUUGAAUUGUGAUAGAAAUUGGAUUGAAUCUGUAGAACUACUUAGGGAAUACUGCCAUCUUGAUUAUAUUAAGGUUUCAAUGAAUUUUAAGUAUUGCCGUCUUGAUAAUACUAUGUCCUUCCCAUGUUAAAGAACAUGUGGUGUACUUCCAUUUGUUUAGGUUCUCCUAAAUUUCUUCCCAUACUCUUAUUGUUUUCAGACUAUAUCUUGUGCUUCAUUUUUUGGAGUUACUACUAGUAUUUCGUUCUUUUUGCUGCUGGUAUAAAGGAAAUUGUUUUCUUAAUCUCAUUUCCAGAGUGUUCAUUUCUAGGGAAUAAAACUACAAUUGCUUUUUGUAUAUCUAGUUGUGCAUUGGUAUCUGUGGGGAAUUGGUUCUCAGACCCCCACAGAUAUCAAAAGUUGCACAGACUCAAGUCCUGCAGUUGUCUCUUUGGAACCCAUAUAUACAAAACAUCAGCCCUCUAUCCACAGGUGUCACAUCUGUUGAAUUCUGCAUUUUGAUCUGCAUUUGGUUUCAGAGGUAGAACCUUUGGAUAUCAAAGGGUGAUUGUAUUUGUAUAUUGAGAGAUAAUGGACAUUCCAUUAAGACUCCAACAUACUAAUUCAUUUCACAAGGAUACUGAUGUGAAAAUACAAGAGAUACUCAUUUUGAUUGUUAAUUGGUAGACUCUCUGGAUAAAGCAGUAAAUGUUGUAGGAUGACUUUUGGAGGGAAUCAGCAUUUGCUGCCUACUGCUACGGAUCUGGGACUAUGCCAGAUGCUCUGCAUGAGUGAUCUUAGAAUGUAAUUAGCAACAGAGGCAGAACUCCUUUGUGGCUGCUUAUUGUCUUGAGGGUGAAGAUCUAUCCUUAACACAACCCACAAGGUCCUGCAAGGUCUGGUCCCCCCCUGCUUCUUUUGCCUUAUUUCCCAUCAAGCUGUCCUUUGCCCUUUGGUUCCCACUUCCUCUCAGUUCCUUGGAACUGUCCUGCACCCUCUAGUCACAAGGAAUUUGCCCCUACCUCUCUCUGCCUGGCGUACUCUCUGUGCUCCUCAGGGUUUUCCUCUAGCUGUGUGUCCUUGAUCAUGGAAGCCCUCCCGGAUGCCCGGUCCAUUCCCUGCUCAUAGGCCAGGUCCACGUUGUGCCCUCUGUGCUGUGCACUCAGCACCCUGGCUCUUCUGUGCAGCACUUAUUCCUGUAAUAAUUCAUCAUUGACUGGACUGAUUAUUACCGGUUCGUUCCAUUGCACUGUAAACUCCAUCAGUGCAAGAUCACUGCUGGUUUUUGCUCAGUUUUAUCCCCAGAAUCUGCCACGCUAGUAG